GACCCUAAAAAGUCCUUUAGACACAAAGGUCUGGUCCUAGCCUUUGAAAUCAGUUAUUACUUUAUUUAUACAUGCAAGUCUCCGCCCCCCUGUGAAAACGCCCUUAUCUUCCCUCUAGGAACAAGGAGCCGGUAUCAGGCUCAACAAUUAGCCCAAGACACCUAGCUUACGCCACACCCACAAGGGUAAUCAGCAGUAAUUAACAUUGAACAUAAGCGUCAGCUUGAUUCAGUUAAAGUAAAAAGGGCAGGCAAAUACGGUGCCAGCCGCCGCGGUUAUACCAUGAGGCCCAAACUGACAUCUUUCGGCGUAAAGCGUGAUUAAAGUUAUUUAUAACUGUAGUCGAACUAUUAUUAGGCUGUUAUAAGCUUAUACUUAAGAAGAUCACAAACGAAAGUUACUACACAAAACAACUUGAACUCACUACAACUAAGACACAAACUAGGAUUAGAGACCCUACUAUGCUUAGCCUUAAACUCUUAAUUACACCACAAACGCCUGGGAACUACAAGCAAAGCUUGAAACCCAAAGGACUUGACGGUGCCCCACAUCCCCCUAGAGGAGCCUGUCCUAUGACCGAUAACCCCCGUUUAACCUCACCCUCUUUAGCACACUCAGUCUGUAUACCUCCGUCGUCAACUUACCACAUGAGUGACUUUUAGUAAGUUUAAUGUCCUUACUCGUCAACACGUCAGGUCAAGGUGCAACUAAUAAGAGGGGAAGAGAUGGGCUACACUCUCUAUUAUAGAGUAUACGGAGAACUAAUAUGAAAGCUAGUUCAAAGGUGGAUUUAGCAGUAAAAGGGGUCAGAGAGCCCCUUUUAACUCGGCACUGGGGUGUGUACACACCGCCCGUCACCCUCUUCGUAGCACUGGUUUAAGUACAUAACCGAAUUCCGCAUCGUAGAAGAGGUAAGUCGUAACAUGGUAAGUAUACCGGAAGGUGUGCUUGGAAU
This 955-nucleotide non-coding RNA is filed under the name Aplastodiscus leucopygius (Guinle treefrog). Its description in RNAcentral is "partial 12S ribosomal RNA". It matches the Rfam family "Bacterial small subunit ribosomal RNA". Lineage: Eukaryota; Metazoa; Chordata; Amphibia; Anura; Hylidae. The record is from RNAcentral.